UUUCAGAAGCAUUUAAUUCAACAUAGCGAGUUAAAAUAAGGCUUAGUCCGUAAUCAACUUUUCAAGUGGCGCUGUUUCGGCGCUUUUUUU
Molecule: small RNA, 90 nt
Filed under: Enterococcus hermanniensis
Lineage: Bacteria; Bacillati; Bacillota; Bacilli; Lactobacillales; Enterococcaceae
Description: Trans-activating crRNA
Rfam family: Trans-activating crRNA
About the family: RNA-guided Streptococcus pyogenes Cas9 (SpCas9) is a sequence-specific DNA endonuclease, the Trans-activating CRISPR RNA form an hybrid with the crRNA (crRNA/tracrRNA). The RNA hybrid acts as a guide for the endonuclease Cas9.
Source: Rfam by way of RNAcentral